This 1250-nucleotide long non-coding RNA is filed under the name Brassica napus (rape). RNAcentral describes it as "long non-coding RNA (BNAP_LNC026168)". Lineage: Eukaryota; Viridiplantae; Streptophyta; Magnoliopsida; Brassicales; Brassicaceae. The record is from RNAcentral.
ACUCAACAAUUCCAAACACGUACUUAUUUUAUCAUUUUUUGGGUUCUUUGGGACUAUCGUGGUAGGUAAAAAUGAACUGGAGCCUCAAACACAGCUUCUCUUAUCUACACGUUUUAUGUGAUCCAUAGGUGAAACAUAUUAUAUGAGGUUAAUAAAUAAAUUUGAUCAAAAAUUGCUUAAUGUUUUAAUACUUGAAAUGGUUUAGAAAUUGACAUUAUUCAUUGGACUUUUGGAUACGCCAAUGAUGGAACGUGCGAUGGGUUUUAAAAGUGAAGUGGUUAUGCCAUAGCCAAUGGAUGAUAUGUCUCUGUCUUUGUCUUGGUCGGACCAAGUGGAGAAGACACUAUAUGUGUGCAUCGAACUUCAUGGGUCCAAAUUAGACCAAAAUCAAAUCCCUCGAAAUAUUUCUUGCACACGUAUUUAAUGUUUUUCUUUUUUGGCGAAAUUAUAAAUUUGUAAUUUGAAACUCGGGUUAGACGGUGUCGUACGCUUUUGGGCUAGUCCACUCUUUAGCACUAAGCAAAUUAAUUCCGGUGCCGACCAGAUCAUGGCUUAUCAAAAAAACAAUUGUAAUUUGUGGACCCUAAGUCGUUUGUAUCAUGUCUAAUAGGGAUGUAGCCUGUAGAGCGUGAUUCUAUAAGUUUUUAAUCCGAACUUUGUAAUGAGCUAUCUACUUUGUGAAUAGGAGAAACGAAGAUUCACAUAAGAAGGAAACAAAUCUUAUCAUACACCACUCGCAUUUGUUAUCUCGUGACAUUCUCAAAACAACAUGCGAUCAUUUCACCAUAUAUUUUAAGAAAUGUGUGUACGUGUUCUUUAAAAAAGAUGCCUCUAGAGCAAUUGCGUUUCUUCCCCCAAUCCGCUAGGCUAUAUAUCUACUUACACUCUAGCAAAUUUAGUUAUUUGUUUAAAAACUCCCUCAAAUGUAAUUAACUUAAACUCUACGUUAAAGUAUAACCGCUAAACUAUUUAUCGAGCAAAUUAGAGUAGGCCAAAUCAAUAUAUUAGCUGUAUCCUUUGAAUAUUUGUUCAGUUUUAAUAUGUUUCAGGCCCAAAAUAACUAGUAUAUGCACGUCUAUAUGAUUAGUAAUGCAAAUUGCAUGUGUAAAUGUUUAUCAUAUGCGAAAUCUACGCAUGACGAAUUGUAGAUUUCCAUAGCCGUAGCAUUUUGAACCCAUAACUUAUUUUUCACACUAGCAUUCUUACUUUAUUAGGUACAGAAAAGUUUUGAAAUCAAAAUGUACACUACA